Non-coding RNA from Pelobates cultripes (western spadefoot toad), 712 nucleotides. Lineage: Eukaryota; Metazoa; Chordata; Amphibia; Anura; Pelobatidae. The record is from the annotation of a GenBank genome assembly.
CAGGAUUUUGGCGAAUAUUUUGAGGUCAGUGUUAAUAAGUGAGAUUGGCCUGUAGCUCGAGGCCAGUGUGUCGUCUUUCCCUGGUUUUGGUAGGAGGACAACAUUUGCUGUCGCCAUGUCGCCAUCAGGUGUCCCACCCUGCAGAAAAUGGUUGCUAAGGGUCGUCAGCUGGGGGGGCUAAUACGUCUUUGAAUUGUUUGUAAUAGCUAAUGUCAUAUCCGUCCGGACCUGGUGCCCUAUUGCCUUUCAGGGAAGCUAUGGCUGCCUCCACCUCGAGUUGUGUGAUUGGUUCUUGUAGUGCUUCCGCUUCCGCCCCGUUCACCUUUGGGAUAGUGAGUUCAGAGAGAAAUUGGCGUAUGUCUGCAAUGUAGGCCGCAUUGGUGGCCCGGAGGCGGGGGGAAUGGUUGUAUAGUUCUGAGAAGUAGGAGGUGAACACUGCAUUAAUCUCGUCUGGCGUUUCGGCUAGUGUGUUAUCUGUUGUGCGUAUUUUUGUUGAAAAGAUCUAUUUUAAAAUAGUUUUUUCCUCACGGCUGUUCGGGCCAAGAUAUUGACUGACAAGUGACAGCCGAAAAAACCUCCCACAAGAGGUCACUCUGCUCUCCACCCAUAGCAGCCACCACACAGGGGCUGCUAUGGAAACUUCCUAGUAAGUGCUUCGGGGAACUGGAUGUUACACUAAGAAUAAUACCAACGAAGUGGCGCUGGAACGGAG